RNAcentral lists this ribosomal RNA (461 nucleotides) under uncultured bacterium. Its description in RNAcentral is "bacterial SSU rRNA". It matches the Rfam family "Bacterial small subunit ribosomal RNA", at positions 331 to 793 of the family's 1533-position model. The record is from RNAcentral.
CCAGACUCCUACGGGAGGCAGCAGUGGGGAAUAUUGCGCAAUGGGCGAAAGCCUGACGCAGCGACGCCGCGUGGGUGAAGGAGCACCUCGGUGCGUAAAGCCCUAUCGGCAGGGAAGAAAAGCGAACAGGUUCGCCUGGACGGUACCUGACUAAGAAGCCCCGGCUAACUACGUGCCGGCAGCCGCGGUAAUACGUAGGGGGCAAGCGUUAUCCGGAUUCACUGGGUGUAAAGGGAGCGUAGACGGCUAUGCAAGUCUGGAGUGAAAGGCGGGGGCCCAACCCCCGGACUGCUCUGGAAACUGUAGAGCUAGAGUGCAGGAGAGGUAAGUGGAAUUCCUAGUGUAGCGGUGAAAUGCGUAGAUAUUAGGAGGAACACCAGUGGCGAAGGCGGCUUACUGGACUGUAACUGACGUUGAGGCUCGAAAGCGUGGGGAGCAAACAGGAUUAGAUACCCGCGUAA